RNAcentral lists this long non-coding RNA (287 nucleotides) under Amphimedon queenslandica. Its description in RNAcentral is "uncharacterized LOC109582392, transcript variant X1". The record is from RNAcentral. Lineage: Eukaryota; Metazoa; Porifera; Demospongiae; Haplosclerida; Niphatidae.
GUUUAGUUGAUGAUAUUCCUGUGUUGGGAGGAGAAGUUGUCAUAAAAGAGGGAUAUGACUUUCAAAUAGAUGGCACACCAAAUAGGAUUCAUGUAAAGAAAGUAAUUAGAAUUAUAUUAUGUCUUAUUUACUUGCAUACUUUUUACAACACUUCUAAGGAAUCACCAAAGAGUUAUUCAGCUUUCUCGUCUCCUUUUUCGGCUACAAAUACUACUUCAACCGUUGAAGACAAACUCUAUAAAAUUGAAAGGAAGGUGGAUAUAAUUUUGAAGUACAUUAAACAAACA